This 497-nucleotide ribosomal RNA is filed under the name uncultured bacterium. RNAcentral describes it as "partial 16S ribosomal RNA". It matches the Rfam family "Bacterial small subunit ribosomal RNA", at positions 28 to 507 of the family's 1533-position model. The record is from RNAcentral.
GAUGAACGCUGGCGGCGUGCCUAAUACAUGCAAGUCGAGCGAACAGACGAGGAGCUUGCUCCUCUGACGUUAGCGGCGGACGGGUGAGUAACACGUGGAUAACCUACCUAUAAGACUGGGAUAACUUCGGGAAACCGGAGCUAACACCGGAUAAUAUAUUGAACCGCAUGGUUCAAUAGUGAAAGACGGUUUUGCUGUCACUUAUAGAUGGAUCCGCGCCGCAUUAGCUAGUUGGUAAGGUAACGGCUUACCAAGGCGACGAUGCGUAGCCGACCUGAGAGGGUGAUCGGCCACACUGGAACUGAGACACGGUCCAGACUCCUACGGGAGGCAGCAGUAGGGAAUCUUCCGCAAUGGGCGAAAGCCUGACGGAGCAACGCCGCGUGAGUGAUGAAGGUCUUCGGAUCGUAAAACUCUGUUAUUAGGGAAGAACAAAUGUGUAAGCAACUAUGCACGUCUUGACGGUACCUAAUCAGAAAGCCACGGCUAACUACGUG